This 373-nucleotide long non-coding RNA is filed under the name Coccomyxa subellipsoidea. Its description in RNAcentral is "long non-coding RNA (CSUB_LNC000716)". Lineage: Eukaryota; Viridiplantae; Chlorophyta; Trebouxiophyceae; Coccomyxaceae. The record is from RNAcentral.
GGCUGCGACGUACACGGUGUGGCUCAACUAUGAGCAGCAGGGCAGGCCGCCUCGCUUGGCAAAGUCUGAUGACAGCCCCAAAUUCGUGACCGGACCUGCAGACCGAGUGGUAACCUCCCAAGCUGCCCCACAGGCCCACACUCGAUUAACACCAAAAAUAUUGGGGCACUUGAAUUAUUUGAAACUUGUGGGUGCUGAGGAUCUGCUAUUGUGGGGACAGAACCCCACGGCGACGGGAUUUGCAGGCCGCGAAUUUGAGGUGUCUGACUUGGACUCGGGUUCCAUCUACUGCCUCCUCACAUCUCCCUUCCACCAGGCAAGCUGUUCACAUUGAGACCCUCCUUGCUUUUCAAUAUUAGCAAAGAACUGCACC